RNAcentral lists this ribosomal RNA (301 nucleotides) under uncultured bacterium. Its description in RNAcentral is "partial 16S ribosomal RNA". It matches the Rfam family "Bacterial small subunit ribosomal RNA", at positions 509 to 807 of the family's 1533-position model. The record is from RNAcentral.
CAGCAGCCGCGGUAAUACGGAGGGUGCAAGCGUUAAUCGGAAUUACUGGGCGUAAAGCGCACGCAGGCGGUCUGACAAGUCAGAUGUGAAAUCCCCGGGCUUAACCUGGGAACUGCAUUUGAAACUGUCAGGCUGGAGUCUUGUAGAGGGGGGUGGAAUUCCAGGUGUAGCGGUAAAAUGCGUAGAGAUCUGGAGGAAUACCGGUGGCGAAGGCGGCCCCCUGGACGAAGACUGACGCUCAGGUGCGAAAGCGUGGGGAGCAAACAGGAUUAGAUACCCCGGUAGUCCCUGUCUCUUAUAC